This 468-nucleotide ribosomal RNA is filed under the name uncultured bacterium. Its description in RNAcentral is "partial 16S ribosomal RNA". It matches the Rfam family "Bacterial small subunit ribosomal RNA", at positions 28 to 507 of the family's 1533-position model. The record is from RNAcentral.
GACGAACGCUGGCGGCGUGCUUAACACAUGCAAGUCGAACGGAAAGGCCCUGCUUUUGUUGCGUGCUCGAGUGGCGAACGGGUGAGUAACACGUGAGUAACCUGCCCUUGACUUUGGGAUAACUUCAGGAAACUGGGGCUAAUACCGGAUAGGAGCUCCUGCUGCAUGGUGGGGGUUGGAAAGUUUCGGCGGUUGGGGAUGGACUCGCGGCUUAUCAGCUUGUUGGUGGGGUAGUGGCUUACCAAGGCUUUGACGGGUAGCCGGCCUGAGAGGGUGACCGGCCACCAUGGGACUGAGAUACGGCCCAGACUCCUACGGGAGGCAGCAGUGGAGAAUAUUGCAGAAUGGGCGGAAGCCUGAUGCAGCAAUGCCGCGUGCGGAAUAACGGGCUUCGGGUUGUAAACCGAUUUCGCAUGUGACGAAGCGUGAUUGACGGUAAUGGGUAAAGAAGCACCGGCUAACUACGUG